GCGUAAACCAAGAUAACAGUGAACCAUGGUCGGAAGUUAAGUGCUGUAGCCUUCAUGCAACAACAGGAGAAUGGAAACACCUACUAGACUAAUGGUCACACCUUCUGCAUCUCCUGUAAUAUCAGAGUUCUGAUGAUGUGUUUGCUCUUACACGCAUAUUCCUCGUCAGAACCAUUUACUUCAAUUGGAACUACACCACUAUACAUCAGAACCCGGCCUUCAAAAAUACAUGGCUAGCCCUUAGGUAUAUUUAAAGAGGAAGAAAUCCUUUCUGAAGGAGGCAAAGAAAUCUAAUUAAGCAAAACAAACGUCCUACCUCCAGCCAUCUGUGGCAAUGCCUCAGUUUGGAAUUCAGCCAUAAAAAGCUGGGCUGCAAAACCUGUAAUACCUAUCUAGCCCUCCAACCUGCAGCAGCAAGGUGAAAUCCUCUCUCCACUGAAAUUUAAGGGAAACUGUUGAUUUAAACAAAGCUACCUUUUUGUGUUUACUAAGCUUGAGUGGAAAGGAUACAUGUUUGCUGUAAACUGAUUAUCUUAAUGUUGCACGUUUUGGAAAAGCAUGGAGUUUUUUGGGGUAGGGGUUGUUCUGUAUUUGUUUUUGACCUGAUUAAGUGAGGUUAGUGUUAAUAUAUGAUUCAUUAUGCAUUUAAUGUAUUAAUGAAUGGGAUGUAGCCACAAAUUCUAUGUGCUUUAUUUAGGAUAACAUCCUUUCUGAAAGGGACAGCUAAACACACACAAUUUCUUGAAAUGAUGUCCCUGCUCAAGUACAAGAUGAAGCAUAUGAGAAAAACUUGGUUUCAAGAGAGGUUUCCUUUAGCCAUUAGGCUGCUGCAUGCUCAAGUUUCUUCUCCCAAAAGUGAUUGUAGUCAUGUACCAUGCAGUGAAAUAGCAUUCACUAGUUUUCAAGAAAAUGAAAUCUACUUCACCUAUGUGGAAUGGAGAGAGGACAAAUCAGUUGAAAUAAAUAGGCAGUUUUAUUGAUUCAAGCAUGGGCUCCAUCCUGUAUGAAUUCAUCUCCUGAACACCUGUGCCAGCAAUUCUUCCACUACAAAAUACUGCAAAAAGCUGUCAAUUUGGUUGAAACCUCCUGUCCGUUCCUAGUCGCCGAUUCUUCUGGGUAACAGUUAAGUGGGAACUGCUGACUUUCUGCUGGUAAGUGAUUUACUGCCCGCCUGGAUGGAAAGGAAGUGGGAAGGGGUCUUUGGAGAGAUGAUCCUCACAUGUGG
Molecule: long non-coding RNA, 1225 nt
Organism: Apteryx owenii (little spotted kiwi)
Lineage: Eukaryota; Metazoa; Chordata; Aves; Apterygiformes; Apterygidae
Source: Ensembl